AGCAGCCGCGGUAAUUCCAGCUCCAAUAGCGUAUAUUAAAGUUGUUGCAGUUAAAAAGCUCGUAGUUGAAUUUCGGGAUCAGUACGCUGGUCGUGCCUUCGGUAUGCACUGGUGUCACUGAUUCCUCCCUUCUGAAGAACCGUAAUGCCAUUCAGUUGGUGUUGCGGGGAAUCAGGACUGUUACUUUGAAAAAUUAGAGUGUUUAAAGCAGGCUUGCGCUUGAAUACAUUAGCAUGGAAUAAUGAAAUAGGACG
Molecule: ribosomal RNA, 254 nt
Filed under: uncultured Glomeromycotina
Lineage: Eukaryota; Fungi; Glomeromycota
Description: partial 18S ribosomal RNA
Rfam family: Eukaryotic small subunit ribosomal RNA
Source: RNAcentral